GAUCCUGGCUCAGGAUGAACGCUAGCUACAGGCUUAACACAUGCAAGUCGAACGGUAACAUGAAGAAGCUUGCUUCUUUGAUGACGAGUGGCGGACGGGUGAGUAAUGCUUGGGAAUCUAGCUUAUGGAGGGGGAUAACUACGGGAAACUGUAGCUAAUACCGCGUAGUAUCGGAAGAUGAAAGUGUGGGACCUUCGGGCCACAUGCCAUAGGAUGAGCCCAAGUGGGAUUAGGUAGUUGG
Molecule: ribosomal RNA, 241 nt
Filed under: uncultured bacterium
Lineage: Bacteria
Description: partial 16S ribosomal RNA
Rfam family: Bacterial small subunit ribosomal RNA
Source: RNAcentral